GGCUUUACUCAGUGGCAGUACUGUAGCCAAUGAAGUUCAUCUGAGGCACGAUUAUUGCUAAUUGAAAACUUUUCCCAAGAAAGCAUCUUGUCUGGACUGAUGACUUGAGCCCAAUGUCAAGACUU
Molecule: small nuclear RNA, 125 nt
Organism: Heterocephalus glaber (naked mole-rat)
Lineage: Eukaryota; Metazoa; Chordata; Mammalia; Rodentia; Bathyergidae
Gene: U4
Rfam family: U4 spliceosomal RNA
About the family: U4 small nuclear RNA (U4 snRNA) is a component of the major U2-dependent spliceosome. The structure of U4 snRNA from yeast and human has been reported. U4 snRNA presents a k-turn RNA motif in the 5p-SL related to recognition of Snu13 protein.
Source: Ensembl